GCUUAGGGAGGAGCUUGCGUCACAUUAGUUAGUUGGUGGGGUAAAGGCCUACCAAGACUAUGAUGUGUAGCCGGGCUGAGAGGUUGAACGGCCACAUUGGGACUGAGACACGGCCCAAACUCCUACGGGAGGCAGCAGUAGGGAAUUUUCGGCAAUGGAGGAAACUCUGACCGAGCAACGCCGCGUGAACGAUGAAGUAUUUCGGUACGUAAAGUUCUUUUAUUAGGGAAGAAUAAAUGAUGGAAAAAUCAUUCUGACGGUACCUAAUGAAUAAGCCCCGGCUAACUAUGUGCCAGCAGCCGCGGUAAUACAUAGGGGGCAAGCGUUAUCCGGAAUUAUUGGGCGUAAAGGGUGCGUAGGCGGUUAAAUAAGUUUAUGGUCUAAGUGCAAUGCUCAACAUUGUGAUGCUAUAAAAACUGUUUAGCUAGAGUAAGAUAGAGGCAAGUGGAAUUCCAUGUGUAGUGGUAAAAUGCGUAAAUAUAUGGAGGAACACCAGUAGCGAAGGCGGCUUGCUGGGUCUUUACUGACGCUGAGGCACGAAAGCGUGGGGAGCAAACAGGAUUAGAUACCCUGGUAGUCCACGCCGUAAACGAUGAGUACUAAACGUUGGGUAAAACCAGUGUUGAAGUUAACACAUUAAGUACUCCGCCUGAGUAGUACGUACGCAAGUAUGAAACUUAAAGGAAUUGACGGGACUCCGCACAAGCGGUGGAUCAUGUUGUUUAAUUCGAANGUACCCGAAAAACCUCACCAGGUCUUGACAUGCUUCUGCAAAACUGUAGAAACACAGUGGAGGUUAUCAGUUGCACAGGUGGUGCAUGGUUGUCGUCAGCUCGUGUCGUGAGAUGUUGGGUUAAGUCCCGCAACGAGCGCAACCCUUAUUGUUAGUUACCAGCACGUAAUGGNGGGGACUUUAGCAAGACUGCCGGUGA
Molecule: ribosomal RNA, 932 nt
Filed under: Candidatus Phytoplasma asteris-related phytoplasma
Lineage: Bacteria; Bacillati; Mycoplasmatota; Mollicutes; Acholeplasmatales; Acholeplasmataceae
Description: bacterial SSU rRNA
Rfam family: Bacterial small subunit ribosomal RNA
Source: RNAcentral